RNAcentral lists this ribosomal RNA (116 nucleotides) under Gammaproteobacteria bacterium. The record is from RNAcentral. Lineage: Bacteria; Pseudomonadati; Pseudomonadota; Gammaproteobacteria.
CCUGGCGACCAUAGCGAGUGGGAACCACCCGAUUCCAUUCCGAACUCGGAAGUGAAACCGCUCAGCGCCGAUGAUAGUGUGGGGUUUCCCCAUGUGAAAGUAGGUCAUCGCCAGGC